AUGGAAGAAGAGCUAAGAUUUUUCAAACUUGAUUUUGCAAAAAUGGUGGCUGACAAGGAGGAUGCUAUUACUGAGCUGGGCAAUACUAGGUUGGCUCUCAAUGAUCUGAAAGAGGAGAUGGAGAAGAAGAAGCUGGCAGACCAUGGUUGCACAAACCUACAUCAGUUACUCAGGGCAAAGGCAGAGAAGGAGAGGGACAAGCUUGUGGUAGAGAGAGACCAAGUGCUGACUGAGAGAGACCAACUAAAGGAAGAGAAGAAAAAGCUGGAGUACAUCAUCUCUGAUUUGCUGAAACAGAAGCAUGGCUACAAGGACAAGAUCAAGAAGUUGAAGGAGAUCUGUGAUGAAUUUUAA
RNAcentral lists this ribosomal RNA (354 nucleotides) under Triticum aestivum (bread wheat). RNAcentral's name for it is "partial small subunit ribosomal RNA". Lineage: Eukaryota; Viridiplantae; Streptophyta; Magnoliopsida; Poales; Poaceae. The record is from RNAcentral.